UACGUAGGGUGCGAGCGUUAAUCGGAAUUACUGGGCGUAAAGCGUGCGCAGGCGGUUUUGUAAGCCAGAUGUGAAAGCCCCGGGCUUAACCUGGGAAUGGCAUUUGGGACUGCAAGGCUUGAGAGCGGCAGAGGAGACUGGAAUUCCUGGUGUAGCAGUGAAAUGCGUAGAUAUCAGGAGGAAUACCGAUGGCGAAGGCAGCCCCCUGGGCUAACACUGACGCUCAUGCACGAAAGCGUGGGGAGCAAACAGG
RNAcentral lists this ribosomal RNA (253 nucleotides) under uncultured bacterium. Its description in RNAcentral is "partial 16S ribosomal RNA". It matches the Rfam family "Bacterial small subunit ribosomal RNA", at positions 524 to 776 of the family's 1533-position model. The record is from RNAcentral.